CACGGGGGGAGCAAGCGUUGUUCGGAAUUACUGGGCGUAAAGGGCUCGUAGGCGGCCGUCUAAGUCAGACGUGAAAUCCCUCGGCUUAACCGGGGAACUGCAUGGGAAACUGCGGAGCUUGAGUCCGGGAGAGGAGAGUGGAAUUCCCAGUGUAGCGGUGAAAUGCGUAGAUAUUGGGAGGAACACCGGUGGCGAAGGCGGCUCUCUGGACCGGUACUGACGCUGAGACGCGAAAGCCAGGGGAGCAAACGGG
RNAcentral lists this ribosomal RNA (253 nucleotides) under uncultured prokaryote. Its description in RNAcentral is "partial 16S ribosomal RNA". It matches the Rfam family "Bacterial small subunit ribosomal RNA", at positions 524 to 776 of the family's 1533-position model. The record is from RNAcentral.